RNAcentral lists this ribosomal RNA (492 nucleotides) under uncultured bacterium. RNAcentral describes it as "partial 16S ribosomal RNA". It matches the Rfam family "Bacterial small subunit ribosomal RNA", at positions 29 to 507 of the family's 1533-position model. The record is from RNAcentral.
AGUGAACGCUGGCGGUAGGCCUAACACAUGCAAGUCGAACGGCAGCACAGUAAGAGCUUGCUCUUACGGGUGGCGAGUGGCGGACGGGUGAGGAAUACAUCGGAAUCUACUUUUUCGUGAGGGAUAACGUAGGGAAACUUACGCUAAUACCGCAUACGACCUACGGGUGAAAGCAGGGGAUCUUCGGACCUUGCGCGAUUGAAUGAGCCGAUGUCGGAUUAGCUAGUUGGCGGGGUAAAGGCCCACCAAGGCGACGAUCCGUAGCUGGUCCGAGAGGAUGAUCAGCCACACUGGAACUGAGACACGGUCCAGACUCCUACGGGAGGCAGCAGUGGGGAAUAUUGGACAAUGGGCGCAAGCCUGAUCCAGCCAUACCGCGUGGGUGAAGAAGGCCUUCGGGUUGUAAAGCCCUUUUGUUGGGAAAGAAAAGCAGCAGGUUAAUACCCCGCUGUUCUGACGGUACCCAAAGAAUAAGCACCGGCUAACUUCGUG